GACGAACGCUGGCGGCGUGCCUAAUACAUGCAAGUAGAACGCUGAAGCGAGGAGCUUACUCUUCUUGGAUGAGUUGCGAACGGGUGAGUAACGCGUAGGUAACCUGCCUUGUAGCGGGGGAUAACUAUUGGAAACGAUAGCUAAUACCGCAUAACAAUGGAUGACACAUGUCAUUUAUUUGAAAGGGGCAAUUGCUCCACUACAAGAUGGACCUGCGUUGUAUUAGCUAGUAGGUGAGGUAAUGGCUCACCUAGGCGACGAUACAUAGCCGACCUGAGAGGGUGAUCGGCCACACUGGUACUGAGACACGGCCCAGACUCCUACGGGAGGCAGCAGUAGGGAAUCUUCGGCAAUGGGGGCAACCCUGACCGAGCAACGCCGCGUGAGUGAAGAAGGGUUUCGGAUCGUAAAGCUCUGUUGUAAGUCAAGAACGGGUGUGAGAGUGGAAAGUUCACACUGUGACGGUAGCUUACCAGAAAGGGACGGCUAACUACGUG
RNAcentral lists this ribosomal RNA (497 nucleotides) under uncultured bacterium. Its description in RNAcentral is "partial 16S ribosomal RNA". It matches the Rfam family "Bacterial small subunit ribosomal RNA", at positions 28 to 507 of the family's 1533-position model. The record is from RNAcentral.